AUGGGCAGGCCUAGAGGUGGGAAGGCCAAGGAAUCGAUGGAAGCUGCGAAGAACGAGGACGCCGGUAGCGCGGGCGAGGAGGUGAUCCCAGCCUACAAGAGGAGGGGACGGCCACAGAAGCUUCUCAAGCACGACGCCGAUGAGGAAGAGGACACCGCCAAGGUUGAAGACGACGGCGACGGCACAAAAGAAAAGAUUGCGCCACGCAAGGAGUCGACGGGCGCAGCCGGGAACGGAGGGAAGAAGAGGCGGCGGCAGUCGAAGCGCGGCUCGGAGUCAGCAACGGAGGAGAAGGGCGGCGCGCCGGCGAGGGCGCCGACCGGAUUCCGGCAGAAUGGGAGCCGGCGGAAGAGCACCCCGCGGAGAGCUGCAGAGGCGGGGGUGGAGAGCAAGUGA
This 396-nucleotide ribosomal RNA is filed under the name Triticum aestivum (bread wheat). RNAcentral's name for it is "partial small subunit ribosomal RNA". The record is from RNAcentral. Lineage: Eukaryota; Viridiplantae; Streptophyta; Magnoliopsida; Poales; Poaceae.